RNAcentral lists this ribosomal RNA (184 nucleotides) under uncultured bacterium. Its description in RNAcentral is "partial 16S ribosomal RNA". It matches the Rfam family "Bacterial small subunit ribosomal RNA", at positions 1309 to 1500 of the family's 1533-position model. The record is from RNAcentral.
AACCCGACUCCACGAAGUUGGAUUCGCUAGUAAUCGCGCAUCAGCCAUGGCGCGGUGAAUACGUUCCCGGGCCUUGUACACACCGCCCGUCAAGCCGUGGGAGCCGGGGGCGCCUGAAGUCCGGGACCGCGAGGACCGGCCUAGGGCGAAACUGGUAACUGGGGCUAAGUCGUAACAAGGUAGC